This 504-nucleotide long non-coding RNA is filed under the name Brassica rapa (field mustard). RNAcentral's name for it is "long non-coding RNA (BRAP_LNC006771)". Lineage: Eukaryota; Viridiplantae; Streptophyta; Magnoliopsida; Brassicales; Brassicaceae. The record is from RNAcentral.
GCGUCUUGACGCCGAUAAAAUCUGCGAUCGCGACGCAAAAUAUGCGGCAAGUAAGUCAAUUUACUAUUUUGCCCUUAAUAUGUUUCAUUAUUAACAAGUAUACUUAACCUUAGAUUGACGCUGCCGCAUCUCGAAUUGACGCAGAUUUCAUUUCUCUCGAUCUCAUUUCUCUCGAUCUCAUCUCUCUCGAUCUCGUGCUUCCUCCAUCUCGAGCUCUCUCCAUCUCCGAAGCAUACCCAUCUCUCUCUCUCUUCUCCGACCUCUAUCUUCUCUGGGCUCUCUCGAGCUCUCGAGCUCUCUCCUCUCCGAGCUCUCUCUUCUCCGAGGUAACUGUCUCUAAUACCAGAUAUUGAUUUGAGUCUUAUGGGUUUUGGGGUUGAUGAACUGAUGAUAGCUUUAUGGGUUUCUUUGUUGAUGCUUAGGUUUGUGUAAAGCUGUUGCUCCUCUCAAGUCACUCUCUCGAGACCUUCUCAAGCUGUGUCUGUGUGUCUCAAGCUCUCCCAA